RNAcentral lists this long non-coding RNA (244 nucleotides) under Elaeis guineensis (African oil palm). Its description in RNAcentral is "long non-coding RNA (EGUI_LNC061668)". Lineage: Eukaryota; Viridiplantae; Streptophyta; Magnoliopsida; Arecales; Arecaceae. The record is from RNAcentral.
GCACUGUUUUAAAAAGGGAAGAGAAGGUGGGGCAUGCACACAAAUUUUUUAGAGAAAGGGUGGCAUGAGAAAGGGCCUCUGCGUGAGAAAAGAAAAGAAAAGAAGAGAAAAGAAAAGAAACAGAAAGGGCGCAAAGUUUUUUUUCUGAGAGUACCCUAGGGUUUCUGCCUAGGGUUCGAGAAGUGAGAAGAUGAGCUACGAGUGUCGUGAGUCCAUCAAACUUCAGAGAGAACUUCAUCAACCU